Molecule: long non-coding RNA, 430 nt
Filed under: Mytilus galloprovincialis (Mediterranean mussel)
Lineage: Eukaryota; Metazoa; Mollusca; Bivalvia; Mytilida; Mytilidae
Source: RNAcentral
CCCACUCGCACUAUCAUUUUACAUGUUCACUGGACCGUAAAAUUGGGGUCAAUACUUUAAAAUUGGCAUUAAAAUUAGAAAGACCAUAUCAUAGUUAACAUGUGUACUAAGUUUCAAGUUGAUUGGACUUCAACUUCAUCAAAAACUACCUUGACCAAAAACUUUAACCUGAGCUUCACACUAUCUUUUUCUUUGUUCAGUGGACCAUGAAAUUGGGGUCAAUACUUUAAUUUGACAUUAAAAUUAGAAAGAUCAUAUCAUAGGGAACAUGUGUACUAAGUUUCAAGUUGAUUGGACUUCAACUUCAUCAAAAAACUACCUCGACCAAAAACUUUAAUCUGAAGCGGGACGAACGAACGGACGAACGGAGGCACAGACCAGAAAACAUAAUGCCCCUCUACUAUCGUAGGUGGGGCAUAAAAAGACCAAA